GAUGAAGAACGCAGCGAAAUGCGAUAAGUAAUGUGAAUUGCAGAAUUCAGUGAAUCAUCGAAUCUUUGAACGCACCUUGCGCCCUUUGGACAUUCCGAAGGGCAUGCCUGUUUGAGUAUCAUGAACACCUCAACUCUCACGGCUUGUCCGUGAUGAGCUUGGACUUUGGGGGUCUUGCCGGCCUGUGGUCGGCUCCUCUCAAAUGGAUCAGCUUGCCAGUGUUUGGUGGCAUCACAGGUGUGAUAACUAUCUGCGCUUGUGGUUUUCCAUCAGAUAACCUUCAGUGAUAUGGAGGUUCGCUGGAGCUCACAAAUGUCUCUCCUUAGUGAGGACAGCUCUUUGAACGUUUGAUCUCAAAUCAGGUAGGACUACCCGCUGAACUUAAGCAUAUCAAUAAGCGGAGAA
This 405-nucleotide unclassified non-coding RNA is filed under the name soil metagenome. RNAcentral describes it as "partial contains 5.8S ribosomal RNA, internal transcribed spacer 2, and large subunit ribosomal RNA". The stretch from base 1 to 121 matches the Rfam family "5.8S ribosomal RNA", at positions 35 to 154 of the family's 154-position model. The record is from RNAcentral.